Thunnus maccoyii (southern bluefin tuna) is the source of this 3554-nucleotide long non-coding RNA. RefSeq lists it as uncharacterized. The transcript is spliced from 2 exons. NCBI's taxonomy places the organism in Eukaryota, Metazoa, Chordata, Actinopteri, Scombriformes, Scombridae. The record is from RefSeq and is a predicted model, not a curated record.
CCCUGUGCAUCUUAUCUACCCGUCAUUGUUCAGCCAGGAGGUCAUUUAGGGUCACUGGCAGUCUGUUUGACUCACUACUCCACAACCCGGCCUCCAAACCUUAUCGAGACCAGUCCGACAAUUCCACAAUGUAUGACUCUCCAUAAAAGGAGACUUUCCAUUUCAUCCCAGACACUGAACGAGCUGUAAGCCUCGCUAAGUCACUUUAGCUCCAUCGCCUCAGCUCAUGUAAGCCAAUUCAUGCUGAAUAAGACCAUGUUAAUCUGGGGUUUAAAAUGAGACUAAGUAACUUGAUUUCUAUCCUCUGUUAACCUGAAAUUGCUGCGAUGGCCAACUGGACUCAUGGCUGGAGGGUUUUUGUUGUUACUGUUCUCAAAACAAUGUGUUCAUGUUUUUUUCUCUCAAGUUUUCCUGUUGCUUCAUGUGGCUCAACAGGAAGGAUAGGAGAAACACACACAUAUAUACACAUACACACUGUUUCCUGAAAAGUAGCUUCAGUUCCCACAGCUUCAAUUCAUUUUUGUACUCUCACCAGAAACUACACAUACAUGCAUAUAAAAUAUUUCAUUCAUCAUACACAUGUGGUUCUGCAGACAGGGUAUUUUCUACUUUGCAAUCAUGGCCAUCAAAUGAGAUGAAAAUACAGUCCCAUCUAAUUAAUGUUGUUAGUAUAAUAGGGGAAUUGUUACAUGGGACGGAGCAGGUGACCUCAGUGCAGACACAGGGGAGGAGUCUAGGGUAUCAUAGGAACAAGGUAUUUAUUUUAAGGCAAGGAAAAGGUAAUGCAGACCUUGGGAAGCUUGGACUGGUAGCUAGGAACAUGGUGCUGGGGCUGAAGCUGGAAGCUUGGAACCUGGGGUUUGGGCUGGUAGCCAGGAACCAGGAGCUGAGUCAAGCCGGGGCAAGGGGAGCAGGUCUGGAGUGGAAUCCGUGGUGGGAAAGCAGAGUAGAACAAGGGUCCCGGGCAGGGAAGCAGGGCCAAUGAGACGAGGGACAGAAGACGGGAACCUGAGACAGAGCAGAUGGGACUGCGGGAAAUAGGAGACAGGGACGGGAGCCAGAGCAGACGGGACUGUGGGGAUGAGAUGUGGGACAGGAGACAGGGACUGGAGCCAGAGCAGACGGGACUGCCAGGAUGAGAUUCAGGGAGGAGAACCAAGGCUAUGGAUGACUUGGACACCGGAGAUGAGCAGGGCAAGGUAGCUCAGGUGGACGGCCCAAGGACAGAACAGGGACAGAGCAAGAACCCUGAGACAGAUGGCUCGGGAAACUGGACGCUGGAAACCAUGACUGGAAGACAGGGCAGAUGGGUGGAGUCACUUGAGAGGUCAACCAGAAGACAGGAAAGAAAGGCGGAGCUGCUUUGAAGGGCGACCAGACGAAAGGACAGAUAGGCGGAGAUGCUCUGGAGGUUGAGGAGAUGGGCGGGACUGCUCUGGAAGUCGACUGAGAUGCUCAGAGCAGAGACCUUUACAGCAGCUGGGGAUCUGGCGGGAUGUUAGCGGAAAUGGCCGACAGCUGAAGGUCUGGCUGGGCAUCAGCAAGGGUGGCCGAUAGCUGAGGAUGUGGCAGGACGUUGGCGGAGACAGCUGAUGGCUUGGGAACAGGCUUGACCUCGGCAGGGGCAGCUGGUGGUUCGGGAACAGGCUGGAUGUUGGCAGGGGUGGCCGGUGGCUCGGGAACCGGCUACAUGCUAGCAGGGGCAGCUGAUGGCUCGGGAACAGGCUGGAUGUUGGCAGGGGCGGCUGAUGGCUUGGAAACUGGAGCAGGUUGAGCAUUGGCAGGGAUGGCUGACAACUCAGGAACUGGAACAGGCUAAGCCUCAGUAGUAGGCAACAGAGAAAACCGCCUCAGGAAACAUUGAGACCAUACCUUCCUCUGGAGGCUGUCCGGUACCCAGGGAAAAUAGCAAAGUGAAACCCAUAGAAAGGGAACUGCUUCACUGGCAGGAUCAGGCAGGAUGCUAGCUUUCUCUGGGACAGGGGUAGACUGGAGGCUAGCAGACUUGAGGACAGGCUGGUGACUAGCAGGGCCAAAGCUAGCUGACUGGGUAGCAAACUGGUGGGUAGCAGGCCCAAAGCUAGCAGACUGGGUAGCAAUCUGAUGGCUAGCAAGCCCAGAGCUAGAUGACUGGGAGACAGGCUGAUGGCUAGCAGGCCCAAAGCUAGCUGACUGGGAGACAAGAUGAUGGCUAGCACGCUGGAUACGCCCAAGCCGGAGGCUAGCCACACAAGACACAGGAUUGGAGCUAGCUAAAGAACUGCUUGGCUGCUCCAGGGAGGAGUUUGGAGACUCCAAGGAGACACAGGAAGCUGGAAUUAUGGGCCUGGGAAGAACAUGGUUAAAAGUGAGUUUCCACCUGCAGGAAGCCACUUCCAGGGCAAACUUAGGAUCCUUCUUCCAGAUGGCAGUGAGGAGCCUAAAAAUUCUGGCUCUUCAUUGUGGAGAAUGUCUCCCAGCACACCAAAAGCCACCCAAAUAUUCAGCAGGCCAUGCAGGGGAAUGUCUGCUGGGUUCAUGUUGCUGGCCAGAUCGUACUGUUACAUGGGGUGAAGCAGGUGAACCCAAGUGCAGACACAGGCAAGAAGACAGAGAUAUAGUAGGAACCAGGUAUUUAUUUUAUGGUGAGGAAAAGGGAAUCCAGGCCUGGGGAAGCUUGGACUGGUAGUUGGGAACCUAGGGCUAGGGCUGGUAACUGGGAACCUGGGGCUGGGGCUGAGGCUGGUAGCUGGGAACCUGGGGCUGGGGUUGAAGCUGGAAGCUAGGAACCUGGGGCUUGGGCUGGUAGCCAGGAAACAGGAGCUGAGGCAAGCUGGGGCAAGGGGAGCUGGUCCAGAGCAGAAUCUGUAAGGGGAAAGCAGAGUAGAACAAUGGUCCAAGGCAGAGAAGCAGGGCUGACAAGAUGAGAGAGAGGAGACAGGGACCGGAGACAGAGCAGACCGGACUGCAGGGAACAGGAGACAGGGUUAGACCAGGAAAACAGGCAACAAGAAGAUAACAGGAUAAAUGCAGGAGAGAUGGCUUGAAGCGUAGACUGACUGGUGCAGAGGCUACGAUCUGGCUGUGUGGAUAUGGCAGGGCUGAGUAUAAGUAGAUUAUGGAACGGAUUGCAGCUGGCGGUGCUCUGACUCGAGCACAUCUGUCUCCACUCACACCAUCACACAGAGAGAGAGAGAGGGAGAGAACUACUGGGGAAGUGGCAAUAGGUAGGGAGACACAGGACUGAGGCUGGAAUCAUGACAGGAAUGUACCAUUAGAGUAAAGCCGACAUGAGAAAACACAAAAAAUGUGUUUUUAUUAUCUUAAGAGAAAAGAGACUUUCAUCUUUCAGUAAUAAUUAUUACUGCACUGCAGCAGCCAUUUAUAACCUUUAGAAUUUGGAGAGACGUACUGUACAUUUUGCAGGUAGAAGUCUUUAAUGGAACUGAGUGUCUGAAGUGUCUUCAAACAAGACAGAGGUUGUUCGCUUAAAUGUUAAAUCACUUGUUUGAUUGAUUGUAUGGGUCUUUACUGCAAAUCUCUGUCCCCUCUUGAAUUAAACCAGUAAUAAUCUA